This 468-nucleotide ribosomal RNA is filed under the name uncultured bacterium. RNAcentral describes it as "partial 16S ribosomal RNA". It matches the Rfam family "Bacterial small subunit ribosomal RNA", at positions 28 to 507 of the family's 1533-position model. The record is from RNAcentral.
GACGAACGCUGGCGGCGUGCUUAACACAUGCAAGUCGAACGGAAAGGCCCUGCUUUUGUGGGGUGCUCGAGUGGCGAACGGGUGAGUAACACGUGAGUAACCUGCCCUGGACUUUGGGAUAACUUCAGGAAACUGGGGCUAAUACCGGAUAGGAGCUCCUGCUGCAUGGGGGGGGUUGGAAAGUUUCGGCGGUUGGGGAUGGACUGGCGGCUUAUCAGCUUGUUGGUGGGGUAGUGGCUUACCAAGGCUUUGACUGGUAGCCGGCCUGAGAGGGUGAACGGCCACAUUGGGACUGAGAUACGGACCAGACUCCUACGGGAGGCAGCAGUGGGGAGUAUUGCACAAUGGGCGGAAGCCUGAUGCAGAAACGCCGCGUGCGGGAUGACGGCCUUCGGGUUGUAAACCGCUUUCGCCUGUGACGAAGCGUGAGUGACGGUAAUGGGUAAAGAAGCACCGGCUAACUACGUG